Molecule: long non-coding RNA, 210 nt
Filed under: Jatropha curcas
Lineage: Eukaryota; Viridiplantae; Streptophyta; Magnoliopsida; Malpighiales; Euphorbiaceae
Description: long non-coding RNA (JCUR_LNC000486)
Source: RNAcentral
AAAAUAUUAAUUAAAAUAGUUUAUAAUGAUACCGGAGGGUUGAGAUGGGAUGAUAAGGAUCUCUUUUCUCUUAAUUAAAGGUAUUAAGUUUAAACCUUAAGUAUGAAGUCGCUUUAAACAUUCGGAAAGAAACGCUUUGCCUUUUUAGUGGGCUUACGCUAUGCGAAUUUGGAUUAAUUGGGUCAAUGGAUUUGCCUCCUUAGUGGGCUU